This 1547-nucleotide long non-coding RNA is filed under the name Hordeum vulgare. RNAcentral's name for it is "long non-coding RNA (HVUL_LNC012864)". The record is from RNAcentral. Lineage: Eukaryota; Viridiplantae; Streptophyta; Magnoliopsida; Poales; Poaceae.
UUUCAUGUUAGUUGAUACUUUGUGUUUGCAAACAAAGCUCAGACCUAUCUCUCUCAGGGCAUUACUUCCAUACCACACAUGAUUUUAUUUUCUUUGCAGACAUCAACGAUAGGGACCAUGCUAUUGAAUGCAUUAGCUGAUUCAGAUGCCAACGGGGAAUUCUGCGAAGAGACAUUUGUGGCCAAUGUGCAGGUAUGCACGAUAAUGUGUGUGUUUCGCAUUAUCCAUUUGUUAUUGAACCUUUGUCUCUAUUCUGUCAUCAAUCAAAGGCUUCAUGCUGAGAUUGAACCAACCAUGAAAAUGAGAACCGAAGAAAAGAUUAUUAUCUCUUUCUCCCAUCAUUGGGAUCAACCCUUUUAGGCUUUCAGGUUGAGCAGCGACUUUACAUAUAAACGGACCUCCGUAACAAUUUGUACAGUGCUAGGCAAUUGAAGAAAUAUGAUAGCUCUAAAAUGCAUGCCACUUUAUUUACAAUUCUGUGCAAUUAUGGAGCAGAUAUUGAGCCCACAUAGUGCACUUCAUUAUACAACAUAUAACAUGAACGAUAUGUAAUAUUUAUCUGUCAUUACUUGUCUGGCUCGAACUCAGUAGGACAUAUCUUUUCCUGCUCACAUGGUUUCUAAAGUCAGUGACUGGCAGUUUUGGCAACACAUGGUACAUGCGCUCGGAAUGAAGGCCUGGAUGUGCUGAACAGGUUUGGCACACACUACUGGACACACUUGGUUUGAUACUACGUAACCAAAUAGACUCUGGAUUUAACACAAUUCAGCUAUAUGGUCUCCCCAAUUUAUUUCAGAGGGCUACACACUCAUCAAAUCAGUGGAUCAGAUGGAAAUUAUGCUUCUGACCCAGCUGUUAAAAUAUACAAAGCUGCAUAAAUCAACUUGAACAUUUUAGAUGUCUCAUCAAGACCUCCUCAUGUGUCUCUGUUUAUAUUCACCCAUCGAGAUUUCUAUCUAUGUACUUUGCCAAUAUGUGUCAUAUAUAAUGUAAUUAACAAAUGGGCCUACAUAAAACCUUUAAUUGACUGCCACUCAACCAAGCUCUACAGUCUACUAUUUGUUCUUCAUCUUUAAUAAACAAAAAAAUGAAAAAUUUAGAUGAGUAAGAAAACAACUUUUUACUAUUUUAUCAUUGGUUAUCGUGCGUGCAAUUUUACUAGUUUCCUUGGUCUGAAAGCCUUACCAUCAUUUUCUUCUUGCAGGCGGCCAUGGCAAGAGCAUAUUGUGCAGAGGACGUGGAUGAGAAGAAACUUAUGGUUCUCAUUCAAUCUUUGUGGAACUCUCUUUAUGUGCGAUUGUGCAUUUGUUGGAACCUUUUUUCUGUGCACUUGCACAAGUAUUCUGUUGUGCACAUGUAAAAUUAUUUUGAUGUGUCCUUGUUAGGUGUUGAACCUUAAUGCGUGGAGUCAGUGGAUGAUGUAUUGUAUUUGAUGUGAUAUGCUAUUGAAAUGAAAUAUACAUUUUAUUUGCAAUCUUUUAUUUUGUUGUACUUAUUUUUAAUGGGCCUAUCUUGAGAUAUGCGUGCUUCUAGCAAAAAAAAUGCUU